This 809-nucleotide long non-coding RNA is filed under the name Ananas comosus (pineapple). Its description in RNAcentral is "long non-coding RNA (ACOM_LNC036074)". Lineage: Eukaryota; Viridiplantae; Streptophyta; Magnoliopsida; Poales; Bromeliaceae. The record is from RNAcentral.
UUUAUGAGAUUUUUAUUUUCAGCCGUUCAUUUUGAGGCUACUCGUUCACUAGACAAACGAAGUCAAAAAAUUAUGAAAUUUGGUUUCUAGAUAGUUCCAAUAGCGUAGAUCAUGUCUAAUGGAAUCGAUCGCCGAAUAGGACGUCCCAUCAUCGAAAAUAACUUACAAGUACGGAGGCUCCCGUACUUUCGAAAGCAUAGGAGCCUAGCUCUCUCUCUCUUUCUCUCUCUCUCUCUCUCUCUCUCUCUCUACAUAUAUAUAUAUAGAGUAGGGCUACUAUACUCUUAUGAGUAUAGAGCCUUUCAUACUUAUAAUUUGUUUCCGAUGUUGGGCUUUUCGAAUCGACGAUCCAUACCGUUAAACAUAAUCUAAAGUAUUUGAAACUUAUAGAAAAUAAAUUUUGUAAUUUUUCGAAAUCAUAAUAAAGUCUAUCAAGCAGGUAUAAAAUGAACGGUUAAAAUCAAACGGCAUCCUAAAAAUGGAUGAUCAGAUCCUUCAAUUUAAGAUCGGAGUUAUUGAUCUUUAUUUAGGUAGUGUAUAGAAUUUUCUAUCAAAAAUUCAACUUAUUCCGAUUCUUUUUCACCGUUAAACUAGCAAAUAUCUCAUACCAGCCGUACAAAAUUGUCAAUUUUGUGAGCUUUUGAUCAUAAGGUAAAUGAUGUCGAAAAAUUAUGAAAUUUAAUUUCUAGAAAUUUUAAAUGCUCUACAUAAUGCUUAACGUCAUGAAUCGUCGAUUCGGAAGCUCUAUUAUCGAAAACAACUUAUAAGUACGAAGAGCUCUAUACUUAUAAGAGUAUAGUAGCCGGACU